Molecule: ribosomal RNA, 368 nt
Filed under: uncultured organism
Description: bacterial SSU rRNA
Rfam family: Bacterial small subunit ribosomal RNA
Source: RNAcentral
CGGAGGGUGCAAGCGUUAUCCGGAUUCACUGGGUUUAAAGGGUGCGUAGGAGGGCAGGUAAGUCAGUGGUGAAAUCCCCGAGCUUAACUUGGGAACUGCCGUUGAUACUAUCUGUCUUGAAUAUUGUGGAGGUAAGCGGAAUAUGUCAUGCAGCGGUGAAAUGCUUAGAUAUGACAUAGAACACCAAUUGCGAAGGCAGCUUGCUACACAACUAUUGACUCUGAUGCACGAAAGCGUGGGGAUCAAACAGGAUUAGAUACCCUGGUAGUCCACGCCCUAAACGAUGGAUACUCGACAUCAGCGAUACACAGUUGGUGUCUGAGCGAAAGCAUUAAGUAUCCCACCUGGGAAGUACGACCGCAAGGUUG